This is a non-coding RNA of Paramuricea clavata, 728 nucleotides long. NCBI's taxonomy places the organism in Eukaryota, Metazoa, Cnidaria, Anthozoa, Malacalcyonacea, Plexauridae. The record is from the annotation of a GenBank genome assembly.
AGCGGAGAUGCAAAUGAAACGAUUGCACUUGCCAUUGACCAGCUUCGUCUUUUACGAAACACCCUUUGUCAUACAUCCAGCCCUCAAAUUAAUAAAGUCACGUUCGAUGACUAUGUCAAGCACGUCAAAGACGUGUUCACUGCUUUGAAUUUUAGCACGACAUCUCUGGAGAGGAUUGGCAACAUGAAAGAAUCAGAUUUUCCUACAAAGGAAGUUGAAAAACUCAGUGAAGAAAUCAAUCGUCUGAGAAAUAACUACGUUCUGUUUCUUGAAAGCGAGGUUAUAGAUGAAAUGAGUGGAAUGAAAUAUGAAACGAGUGGAAUGAAAGAUGGAAUGAGUGAAAUGAACCAAAAACUGAAUAGCAUUGAAAGAGUAUUAACACAGACAAAAGAUAGCACAGGUAUGUUGUUUAUGUAUAAUUACACCUUAACAAUUGAUUUUCGAAUUGGAAAGCUGAAUUUAUACCAUAUGAUCAAUAACUUAUCGCUGAAUUCCUCCAGCCUUUGUUUUCAGCCUCAUAUUGAUCAUAAGUUGAUAUGCCCCGCUCCUGUGGGGGUAAUAGCGAACUUAAGCAAAGCUUAAUCUAGUACGGGGACGUGUCAAGAAACCGCCUUCAAUUUUACACUUUUAUAAUUAUAAAGAACUACAAGAUGAAGUGGGUGGAAUCAAACGUAAAAUAAGUGGAGUGGAACAUGAGGUGAAAAGCAUUAAUAAGAAAUUAACACAGA